AGCAGUGCAGCCCCACAAUCUGCGUUUGAAAAAAAAAAUAGAAAGAUUUGAUUUGAAAUCAGAGACAUGGGCCCAGGCCCAGAAAAAGAAUAACACUUCAUCCCACCUGAUGGAUGACGCUUCUUUGUUGCUGGAAAGGUUUCAGGCCCUUGGCUCCAGGGGUGUGUUAUUUAUAUCCCGCCCUGGAACUAAAUCAUGGACCUGUGAGGUUCUUCUGCCCAGAUGUAAAGUCACUGAAUCAGCAUCUGCCUGCCUAAAGAGGAUGGAGGCGUUGUUUGAAUUUGUUGUGCAAGGUUGGAGUCAGUCAGAGAAAGUAGCAGCCUCAGCAGCAGAGAUCCCACAGCCUCCUGUAGACAACUCACUGGCCACAUCAAGUUAUUAUGGAGCCCCUGCUCUUCCCAUUCCUUCCCCUUCAGCUCCUAAUCUUGCCAGUCCUACCCCUCCAGCGCCUACCCUUUCCAUUCCUACCCUUCCAGCCCCUACUCUUUCCUUUCCUACCACUCCAGCUCCUACUCUUCCCAUUCCUACCACUCCAGCUCCUACUCUCCCCAUUCCUACCACUCCAGCUCCUACUCUUCCCAUUUCUACCACUCCAGCUCCUACUCUUCCCAUUUCUACCACUCCAGCCCCUUCUCUUUCCAUUCCUACCCUUCCAGUCUCUACUCUUUCCAUUCCUACCACUCCAGCUCCUACUCUUUCCAUUCCUACCCCUCCAGUCUCUACUCUUUCCUUUCCUACCACUCCAGCUUCUACUCUUCCCAUUCCUACCACUCCAGCCCCUACUCUUUCCAUUCCUACCCCUCCAGUCUCUACUCUUUCCAUUCCUACCACUCCAGCUCCUACUCUUUCCAUUCCUACCACUCCAGCUUCUACUCUUCCCAUUCCUACCCCUCCAGCUCCUACUCUUCCCAUUUCUACCACUCCAGCUUCUACUCUUCCCAUUCCUACCACUUCAGCUUCUACUCUUCCCAUUCCUACCCCUCCAGCUCCUACUCUUCCCAUUCCUACCCCUCCAGCUUCUACUCUUCCCAUUCCUACCACUCCAGCUCCUACUCUUUCCAUUCCUACCACUCCAGCUUCUACUCUUCCCAUUCCUACCCCUCCAGCUCCUACUCUUUCCAUUCCUACCACUCCAGCUCCUACUCUUUCCAUUCCUACCACUCCAGCUUCUACUCUUCCCAUUCCUACCCCUCCAGCUCCUACUCUUCCCAUUCCUACCCCUCCAGCUUCUACUCUUCCCAUUCCUACCACUUCAGCUUCUACUCUUCCCAUUCCUACCCCUCCAGCUCAUACUCUUCCCAUUCCUACCACUCCAGCUUCUACUCUUCCCAUUCCUACCCCCCCAGCUCAUAAUCUUGCCAUCCCUGCUCCUGGAGGAAACAAGAGGAAGAAAAAUAAUGAUUGCUCUCACAGCAGCCAGGAAGUAUUCAAGGGAGAUAUUUUGAAGGAACGAGUUAAAGAGGUUGGUCAGCCAUUACCUGAUAUGGAUAAAAACUAGGCAGUAGAACAUUAAAGAAUGGAUGUUAAUGCAAGGGAAGGAAGGAAUACCUUCUGAAAUGGCACCCUUGCAGUUUAUGUGGAAAAAAAUGGAGAAGCACCUGGGUGGAGGAGGAUUCCUUCCUUAUGUAGUGUGUGUGUGUGUGUCUGUGUGAGUGUUUAAUAAACCGU
Carassius gibelio (silver crucian carp) is the source of this 1668-nucleotide RNA transcript. RefSeq lists it as uncharacterized. The transcript has 7 exons. The record is from RefSeq and is a predicted model, not a curated record. Lineage: Eukaryota; Metazoa; Chordata; Actinopteri; Cypriniformes; Cyprinidae.